GUGUCAGCCGCCGCGGUAAUACGGAGGGUGCAAGCGUUGUCCGGAUUUACUGGGUUUAAAGGGUGCGUAGGCGGAUGAUUAAGUCAGUGGUGAAAGCCUGCGGCUUAACCGCAGAAGGGCCAUUGAUACUGGUCAUCUUGAGUGCAGUGGAGGUAGGCGGAAUUUAUGGUGUAGCGGUGAAAUGCAUAGAUACCAUAAAGAACACCUAUAGCGAAGGCAGCUUACUACGCUGUAACUGACGCUGAGGCACGAAAGCGUGGGGAUCAAACAGGAUUAGAUACCCCAGUAGUCC
RNAcentral lists this ribosomal RNA (292 nucleotides) under uncultured bacterium. RNAcentral describes it as "partial 16S ribosomal RNA". It matches the Rfam family "Bacterial small subunit ribosomal RNA", at positions 505 to 796 of the family's 1533-position model. The record is from RNAcentral.